RNAcentral lists this ribosomal RNA (294 nucleotides) under Chelonus sp. 2. RNAcentral's name for it is "partial 16S ribosomal RNA". The record is from RNAcentral. Lineage: Eukaryota; Metazoa; Arthropoda; Insecta; Hymenoptera; Braconidae.
UUAAAUAGCUGCMGUAUAAAUAACUGUACUAAGGUAGCAUAAUAAAUUGUUUUUUAAUUAAAAACUUGAAUGAAAGAUUUAAUGAAAAAUUAACUUUAUUUAUUUUAAAUUUUAAAUUUUUAUUUAAAUAAAAAAAUUUAAUUAAAUUAAAUAAACAAAAAGACCCUAAAAACUUUAUAUUUAAUUGGGGAAAUUAAAAAAAUUAAUUAAUUUUUUUAUUAACAAACAAUAAUUAUUGAAUAAAAUAAUUUUUUUUAAAUAAUUAAUUAAGUUACUUUAGGGAUAACAGUAUAA